UACGGGGGGAGCAAGCGUUGUUCGGAUUUACUGGGCGUAAAGGGCGCGUAGGCGGCCUCCGCAAGUCGACUGUGAAAUCUCCGGGCUUAACCCGGAAAGGUCAGCCGAAACUGCGGGGCUAGAGUGCAGAAGGGGCAACUGGAAUUCUCGGUGUAGCGGUGAAAUGCGUAGAUAUCGAGAGGAACACCUGCGGCGAAGGCGGGUUGCUGGGCUGACACUGACGCUGAAGCGCGAAAGCGUGGGGAGCGAACAGG
This 254-nucleotide ribosomal RNA is filed under the name uncultured bacterium. RNAcentral describes it as "partial 16S ribosomal RNA". It matches the Rfam family "Bacterial small subunit ribosomal RNA", at positions 524 to 776 of the family's 1533-position model. The record is from RNAcentral.